This 253-nucleotide ribosomal RNA is filed under the name uncultured bacterium. Its description in RNAcentral is "partial 16S ribosomal RNA". It matches the Rfam family "Bacterial small subunit ribosomal RNA", at positions 524 to 776 of the family's 1533-position model. The record is from RNAcentral.
UACGGAGGGAGCUAGCGUUAUUCGGAAUUACUGGGCGUAAAGCGUACGUAGGCGGCUUUGCAAGUUAGAGGUGAAAGCCUGGAGCUCAACUCCAGAACUGCCUUUAAAACUGCAUCGCUUGAAUCCAGGAGAGGUGAGUGGAAUUCCGAGUGUAGAGGUGAAGUUCGUAGAUAUUCGGAAGAACACCAGUGGCGAAGGCGGCUCACUGGACUGGUAUUGACGCUGAGGUGCGAAAGCGUGGGGAGCAAACAGG